RNAcentral lists this ribosomal RNA (408 nucleotides) under uncultured bacterium. RNAcentral's name for it is "partial 16S ribosomal RNA". It matches the Rfam family "Bacterial small subunit ribosomal RNA", at positions 28 to 526 of the family's 1533-position model. The record is from RNAcentral.
GACGAACGCUGGCGGCGUGCUUAACACAUGCAAGUCGAACGGAGUGGCGAACGGGUGAGUAACACGUGAGUAACCUGCCCUUGACUUUGGGAUAACUUCAGGAAACUGGGGCUAAUACCGGAUAGUUGGGGAUGGACUCGCGGCUUAUCAGCUUGUUGGUGGGGUAGUGGCUUACCAAGGCUUUGACGGGUAGCCGGCCUGAGAGGGUGACCGGCCACAUUGGGACUGAGAUACGGCCCAGACUCCUACGGGAGGCAGCAGUGGGGAAUAUUGCACAAUGGGCGGAAGCCUGAUGCAGCAACGCCGCGUGCGGGAUGACGGCCUUCGGGUUGUAAAGUACUUUUGGCAGAAAAACGGUAUCUGCAGAAUAAGCACCGGCUAACUACGUGCCAGCAGCCGCGGUAAUUC